Molecule: ribosomal RNA, 460 nt
Filed under: uncultured bacterium
Lineage: Bacteria
Description: partial 16S ribosomal RNA
Rfam family: Bacterial small subunit ribosomal RNA
Source: RNAcentral
CCUACGGGAGGCAGCAGUGAGGAAUAUUGGUCAAUGGGCGCGAGCCUGAACCAGCCAAGUAGCGUGAAGGAUGACUGCCCUACGGGCUGUAAACUUCUUUUAUAAAGGAAUAAAGUGAGGCAAGUGUGCCUUUUUGUAUGUACUUUAUGAAUAAGGAUCGGCUAACUUCGUGCCAGCAGCCGCGGUAAUACGGAGGAGCCGAGCGUUACCCGGAUUUAUUGGGUUUAACGGGACCGUAGAUGGGUUGUUAAGUCGGUUGUGAAAGUUUGCGGCUCAACCGUAAAAUUGCAGUUGAUACUGGCAGUCUUGAGUACAGAUGAGGUAGGCGGAAUUCGUGGUGUAGCGGUGAAAUGCGUAGAUAUCACGAAGAACUCCAAUGGCGAAGGCAGCUUACUAAACUGCCACUGACAUUGAUGCUCGAAAGUGUGGGUAUCAAACAGGAUUAGAUACCCUGGUAGUC